AUUGAACGCUGGCGGCAGGCCUAACACAUGCAAGUCGAGCGGUAGAGAGGUGCUUGCAUCUCUUGAGAGCGGCGGACGGGUGAGUAAUGCCUAGGAAUCUGCCUGGUGGUGGGGGAUAACGUUCGGAAACGGACGCUAAUACCGCAUACGUCCUACGGGAGAAAGCGGGGGGAUCUUCGGACCUCGCGCCAUUAGAUGAGCCUAGGUCGGAUUAGCUAGUUGGUGAGGUAAUGGCUCACCAAGGCGACGAUCCGUAACUGGUCUGAGAGGAUGAUCAGUCACACUGGAACUGAGACACGGUCCAGACUCCUACGGGAGGCAGCAGUGGGGAAUAUUGGACAAUGGGCGAAAGCCUGAUCCAGCCAUGCCGCGUGUGUGAAGAAGGUCUUCGGAUUGUAAAGCACUUUAAGUUGGGAGGAAGGGUAGUAACCUAAUACGUUGCUACUUUGACGUUACCGACAGAAUAAGCACCGGCUAACUUCGUGCCAG
RNAcentral lists this ribosomal RNA (489 nucleotides) under uncultured bacterium. RNAcentral describes it as "bacterial SSU rRNA". It matches the Rfam family "Bacterial small subunit ribosomal RNA", at positions 30 to 511 of the family's 1533-position model. The record is from RNAcentral.